UACGUAGGGUGCAAGCGUUGUCCGGAAUUAUUGGGCGUAAAGAGCUCGUAGGCGGUUCGUCGCGUCGGCUGUGAAAACCCGGAGCUCAACUCCGGGCCUGCAGUCGAUACGGGCGGACUAGAGUUCGGCAGGGGAGACUGGAAUUCCUGGUGUAGCGGUGAAAUGCGCAGAUAUCAGGAAGAACACCCGUGGCUAAGGGCGGCUCCUCUAGUACGGUACUGACGCUGAGACGCGAAAGCAUGGGGAGCGAACAGG
This 255-nucleotide ribosomal RNA is filed under the name uncultured bacterium. Its description in RNAcentral is "partial 16S ribosomal RNA". It matches the Rfam family "Bacterial small subunit ribosomal RNA", at positions 524 to 776 of the family's 1533-position model. The record is from RNAcentral.